CGGUAACAGCUCAAAUUUGAAAGCUGGCUCUUUUAGGGUCCGCGUUGUAAUUUGUAGAAGAUGCUUCGGGUGUGGCCCCGGUCUAAGUUCCUUGGAACAGGACGUCAUAGAGG
Molecule: ribosomal RNA, 113 nt
Filed under: Collembolispora sp.
Lineage: Eukaryota; Fungi; Ascomycota; Leotiomycetes; Helotiales
Description: partial large subunit ribosomal RNA
Source: RNAcentral